RNAcentral lists this transfer RNA (81 nucleotides) under Thiocapsa rosea. Its description in RNAcentral is "tRNA-Arg". The record is from RNAcentral. Lineage: Bacteria; Pseudomonadati; Pseudomonadota; Gammaproteobacteria; Chromatiales; Chromatiaceae.
GCGUCUGGCAAGCCGUUGUUUUUGUUUAGGGAUCCAGCCCUCCGAAGGCUGGGGUCACAGGUUCGAAUCCUGUCGGGCGCG